GAUGAAGAACGUAGCGAAAUGCGAUAAGUAAUGUGAAUUGCAGAAUUCAGUGAAUCAUCGAAUCUUUGAACGCACAUUGCGCCCGCCAGUAUUCUGGCGAGCAUGCCUGUUCGAGCGUCAUUUCAACCAUCAAGCCCCAGGCUUGUGUUGGAGCCCUUCGGCUGCCGCAGCCUCCCAAAACCAGUGGCGGGCUCGCUAUCACACCGAGUGCAGUAGUUUACUCUUCGCUCAGGGCGUGUGGCGGGUGCUAGCCGUGAAACCCCCAACUUCUCAAGGUUGACCUCGGAUCAGGUAGGAAUACCCGCUGAACUUAAGCAUAUCAAUAAGCGGAGGA
RNAcentral lists this unclassified non-coding RNA (334 nucleotides) under soil metagenome. RNAcentral's name for it is "partial contains 5.8S ribosomal RNA, internal transcribed spacer 2, and large subunit ribosomal RNA". The stretch from base 1 to 120 matches the Rfam family "5.8S ribosomal RNA", at positions 35 to 154 of the family's 154-position model. The record is from RNAcentral.